UAAGAUAGAAAACAAUUUAGUAACGGAUUAACAUAUCCGUUACUAUUCCGUUACUAAUUUUUGUAACAGAUACAAAUCCGUUACUAAUUUGUUUUAAUUUUCAUUAUAUAGUAACGGAUAUUCAAAUCCGUUACUGAAGUGCAAUUCGUUAACAUAUUUUAGUAACGGAUUAUGAUAUCCGUUACUAAAUUAUUAUAUAGUAACGGACUAAAUCCGUUACUAAAGUUAAAUUGCUAACUUAAAAACUUUCCUCUUUUUCUCCCCCGUCAUUCACACAAAACUCUGAGCUCUCUGUUAACAAAUUAAAUCCCUAGCUAUAUUGAUCAAUCGAUCCCAGCUUCCUCUCUUGGUUCAUCGCCGGCGGAAUUUGACGCCAGACCAGUUGACGCCACUCCCCUUGGUUCAUCGCCGUCAACCGUCUCUUUCUUCCCUCCCCUCGGUUCAUUGCCGUCUCUUGCUCCCCUCCAUUUGGUACAUUGCUGUGUUCUAUCAGAGAUUGGUUUGAGAUAUCGUGUUCUUGCUUUCAGACCAGUUGACGCCUGCAGACCCCUUUUUUGCUUCCAGAGAUUGCGUUCAUCUCAAAUUUUUCUUCUCCUUCAGUCUGUCUAUAAAGUUACUUCACUACUGACACAUGCAAAUGAGCUUUCAGCACAUGCUGAUAGGGUUGCAGCAGGCUUGUAUUCUGAUUUCGCUUCAGCAAUUUUUUUCUGGACGUGCCAAAAAUGGUUUUGCUCUAGUAUGAAGGUUUAAAAGUUAAUAUAAGUUAUUCAUUAUUACAAGGUUGUGCAGGGAACUAUACCGAGUCCUUUCUUAUCUACUUUUAUUUUUACAUAUUCUUGAAUUAUGUUAUCAUGCUGGUGUAAGACAAGCCAUUGGAUUCUGCCUCCACAAUAAUGCUGCAGCUGCUGCACUAGCUACUGGUGCCAAUAAGCUGCUAAUAGUCAACUGGAAUGUUCAUCAUGGAAAUGGCAUAUGUAUUUCUACUGUUGCACGUCAAAUUGAAGAUAAGAAGAUUGGUUGUUUUUUAUUUAAUUUUUAUAGUGGUUAAAUGAAUAAAACUAUGACAUUCAGCAGCUUGGGAUUAGAAUCCCACAUCGUCCAAGAGCUGGGAAAUUAGUAGGUUUAUAUAUUCCAGCC
Manihot esculenta (cassava) is the source of this 1137-nucleotide long non-coding RNA. RefSeq lists it as uncharacterized. NCBI's taxonomy places the organism in Eukaryota, Viridiplantae, Streptophyta, Magnoliopsida, Malpighiales, Euphorbiaceae. The record is from RefSeq and is a predicted model, not a curated record. The transcript has 3 exons.